RNAcentral lists this ribosomal RNA (1529 nucleotides) under uncultured Planctomycetales bacterium. RNAcentral's name for it is "16S ribosomal RNA". It matches the Rfam family "Bacterial small subunit ribosomal RNA". The record is from RNAcentral. Lineage: Bacteria; Pseudomonadati; Planctomycetota; Planctomycetia; Planctomycetales.
CAUGCAAGUCGAACGAGGAUAUAUCCUUCGGGAUAUAAGCCGAGUGGCACAAGGGUGAGCAAUGCAUAGAUUACCUACCUUUAGGAUAAGGACAACUUUGUGAAAACGGAGCUAAUACUUAAUAAUACAAAUGAAAGUAAUUUUCUUUUGUCAAAGGGAGGGUAGCAAUACCUUUCGCCUAGAGAGGGGUUUAUGUCCUAUCAGCUUGUUGGUGGGGUAAUAGCCUACCAAGGCGAAGACGGGUAGCCGGUUUAAGAGGAUGGUCGGCCACACUGGGACUGAGACACUGCCCAGACUUCUACGGAAGGCUGCAGUCGAGAAUCUUUCGCAAUGCCCGAAAGGGUGACGAAGCGACGCCGCGUGGGUGAAGAAGGCCUUCGGGUUGUAAAACCCUGUCAGGAGUUAUGAAAUGUAAGUGCGCUAAUAUCGUGCUUAUUUGACAAAGGCUCCAAAGGAAGCCACGGCUAACUCUGUGCCAGCAGCCGCGGUAAUACAGAGGUGGCGAGCGUUGUUCGGAAUUAUUGGGCGUAAAGAGCACGUAGGUGGGUUUGCAAGUCAGAUGUGAAAGCCUUCUGUUCAACGGGAGAAUUGCAUCUGAAACUGCUAAUCUUGAGUAUAGGAGGGGAGAAUGGAACUUCUGGUGGAGCGGUGAAAUGCGUAGAUAUCAGAAGGAACGCCGGCGGCGAAAGCGAUUCUCUGGCCUAUUACUGACACUCAGUGUGCGAAAGCUAGGGGAGCAAACGGGAUUAGAUACCCCGGUAGUCCUAGCCGUAAACGAUGGGCACUAAGUAGAGGGGAUUACCUAUGUUCUCUCUGCCGUAGCUAACGCAUUCACGCAUUAAGUGCCCCGCCUGGGGAGUACGGCCGCAAGGCUAAAACUCAAAAGAAUUGACGGGGGCUCGCACAAGCGGUGGAGCAUGUGGCUUAAUUCGAUGCAACGCGAAAAACCUUACCGGGGUUUGACAUGAUAGAAGUAGGAACCUGAAAGGGGGACGAACGGUAUCCAGUCCGUAGCUAUUACAGGUGUUGCAUGGCUGUCGUCAGCUCGUGUCGUGAGACGUUGGGUUAAGUCCCCUAACGAGCGAAACCCUUGUUUUUAGUUACCAGCGGGUUAUGCCGGGUACUCUAGAAAGACUGCCGUCGUCAAGACGGAGGAAGGUGGGGAUGACGUCAAGUCAUCAUGGCCCUUAUGCCCCGGGCUGCACACGUGCUACAAUGGUCGGUACAGACGGAAGCGAAGCCGAGAGGUGAAGCGAAUCCUAAAAAGCCGAUCUCAGUUCGGAUUGGAGGCUGAAAUUCGCCUCCAUGAAGUUGGAAUCGCUAGUAAUCGCGGAUCAGCAAUGUCGCGGUGAAUAUGUUCCCGAGCCUUGUACACACCGCCCGUCAAGCCACCCAAGCAGGAUGCACCCGAAAACAUUAUAUCUAACCAGGGCAACUUGGAAGAAAAUGUUGAAGGAGUGUUUUGUGAGGAGGACUAAGUCGUAACAAGGUAGUCGUAGGAGAACCUGCGGCUGGAUCACCUCCUUUCU